AUACGUAGGGUGCAAGCGUUAAUCGGAAUUACUGGGCGUAAAGCGUGCGCAGGCGGUUUUGUAAGACAGAGGUGAAAUCCCCGGGCUCAACCUGGGAACUGCCUUUGUGACUGCAAGGCUAGAGUACGGCAGAGGGGGGUGGAAUUCCGCGUGUAGCAGUGAAAUGCGUAGAUAUGCGGAGGAACACCGAUGGCGAAGGCAACCCCCUGGGCCUGUACUGACGCUCAUGCACGAAAGCGUGGGGAGC
Molecule: ribosomal RNA, 247 nt
Filed under: uncultured bacterium
Lineage: Bacteria
Description: partial 16S ribosomal RNA
Rfam family: Bacterial small subunit ribosomal RNA
Source: RNAcentral